CCAGCAGCCGCGGUAAUUCCAGCUCCAAUAGCGUAUACUAACGUUGUUGCAGUUAAAAAGCUCGUAGUUGGAUUUGUGGCGGUCCCUGUGGUCCGAUUUCGGUACUCUCGGGGAUUGCCAUCCUUGGGUGGAUCCUGUGUGGCAUUAGGUUGUCGUGCAGGGGAUGCCCAUCGUUUACUGUGAAAAAAUUAGAGUGUUCAAAGCAGGCUUACGCCGUUGAAUAUAUUAGCAUGGAAUAAUGAGAUAGGACCUUGGUACUAUUUUGUUGGUUUGCGCACCGAGGUAAUGAUUAAUAGGGACAGUUGUGGGUAUUCGUAUUCCAUUGUCAGAGGUGAAAUUCUUGGAUUUCUGGAAGACGAACGAAUGCGAA
RNAcentral lists this ribosomal RNA (370 nucleotides) under uncultured eukaryote. RNAcentral describes it as "SSU rRNA". It matches the Rfam family "Eukaryotic small subunit ribosomal RNA", at positions 567 to 949 of the family's 1831-position model. The record is from RNAcentral.